AGAAAUGAAGUUGAAAAUAGCACAGGAGCCCACUAUCACUGUGUGAACAUUUUGUGAAUGAAGACAUGUAUGAAAGGAUGUUUGGAGGCUUCAAGAAACGAAAGCCGAGAGUCUAGCUAGACCAGAGCCAUCCAGCCCAGGAGCGAUGGCCACGUGUGGCCGCUGGACACGAGAGACGUGGCCAGUCCAAACUGUGCAGUGCGGUUGAAAAAAACAUUUUGGAUAUAUGGUGUUAAAUAAACAUGAUUACAAUGACUUUCGCUGUCAGCCUCCCGGAGGCUCAUUUUGCUCCUCUGGGCCACAGCCAGCUCAGAGGGUUGCUCUAGGAAAUAUCUACACGUUCUUGAAGCACAGGUUUAUGUGCCAGGCACUGUACUAAGUGCUGGGGACACGGCGUUAAGACCAGGCCCUCACGGAGCCCUCACUCUCUGAGGAGGAACAAUAAGUCAGAGAGCGCGCGAGUGCAGCCCUUCAGGCAAAGGAUUUCAGGCCCAGGUCAGGAAGGCCUUGUCUGAGGAGUCUGAGAAGAAGUCAAUUGACAACAGCUAGAACAUCUAGGUCAGGCACUCCAGGCCGACACGACAAAGCAGGUGCAAAGGCCCCAGGGCGGGAACCAGCGUGGCUUGUUCACAGAACAAGGAGGUAGAUCGCUUGCCCUUGGGACCAAAGGAAGGCUCUGGAUUUUAUUCUAGGGGCAGUGGAAGCCGUUGGAGGGCCUCAGGCAGGAACACAAGGUGUCGUGGCAGAAAGGAAGAAGGGGCCGGGCACGGUGGCCCACACCCGUCAUCCCAGCACUUUGGGAGGGAGGCCAAGGCAGGAGGAUCGCUUCAAUCCAGGAGUUCAAGAUCAGCCUGGGCAACACAGCAAGACCCCGUCUCUACUAAAACCCUAAAACUUAGCCAGGCUUGGUGGCAUGUGCCUAAGGUCCCAGGUCCUCGGGAGACUAAGGCAGGAGGAUUGCUUAAGCCCAAGAGUUUGAGGCUGCAGUGAACUAUUA
Molecule: long non-coding RNA, 997 nt
Filed under: Homo sapiens (human)
Lineage: Eukaryota; Metazoa; Chordata; Mammalia; Primates; Hominidae
Description: non-protein coding lnc-DNAAF5-3:25
Source: RNAcentral